RNAcentral lists this ribosomal RNA (463 nucleotides) under uncultured bacterium. RNAcentral describes it as "partial 16S ribosomal RNA". It matches the Rfam family "Bacterial small subunit ribosomal RNA", at positions 28 to 507 of the family's 1533-position model. The record is from RNAcentral.
GACGAACGCUGGCGGCGUGCUUAACACAUGCAAGUCGAACGGAAAGGCCUUUUCGGAGGUACUCGAGUGGCGAACGGGUGAGUAACACGUGGGUGAUCUGCCCUGCACUCUGGGAUAAGCCUGGGAAACUGGGUCUAAUACCGGAUAGGACCGCACUUUAGUGUGUGUGGUGGAAAGUUUUUUCGGUGUAGGAUGAGCCCGCGGCCUAUCAGCUUGUUGGUGGGGUAAUGGCCUACCAAGGCGGCGACGGGUAGCCGGACUGAGAGGUUGGUCGGCCACAUUGGGACUGAGAUACGGCCCAGACUCCUACGGGAGGCAGCAGCGGGGAAUAUUGCACAAUGGGCGCAAGCCUGAUGCAGCGACGCCGCGGGGGGGAUGACGGACUUCGGGUUGUAAACUCCUUUCGCCAGGGACGAAGCGUUUUGUGACGGUACCUGGAGAAGAAGCACCGGCUAACUACGUG